This 207-nucleotide ribosomal RNA is filed under the name uncultured bacterium. Its description in RNAcentral is "partial 16S ribosomal RNA". It matches the Rfam family "Bacterial small subunit ribosomal RNA", at positions 1293 to 1500 of the family's 1533-position model. The record is from RNAcentral.
UCAGAUUGCAGGCUGNAACCCGCCUGCAUGAAGUCGGAAUUGCUAGUAAUCGCGGAUCAGCAUGCCGCGGUGAAUACGUUCCCGGGCCUUGUACACACCGCCCGUCACACCAUGGGAGCCGGUAAUACCCGAAGUCAGUAGUCCAACCACGUGAGGACGCUGCCGAAGGUAGGAUUGGCGACUGGGGUGAAGUCGUAACAAGGUAGC